CUCUCCACUUCCUUAUUCCUUCUUUUCAUCGGAAACCCAUUAGUGCUUUACUUUCUUUAUUAGUAGGCUAAUAGGGAGGUCUAUGAAAUGUAUACGAAAAGGAUGAUUCUUUAUUCAUGUAAUUCCCGCGAGGAAAAGCUUAUUAAAAAGGUUCAUAGGUGGUCGUUUAACGGCCCACGAAUAUCUCUUUCUCAAUUUCUAUUCCUUCUCUUCUCAAAGGGGAGUAUA
Molecule: long non-coding RNA, 228 nt
Filed under: Nicotiana benthamiana
Lineage: Eukaryota; Viridiplantae; Streptophyta; Magnoliopsida; Solanales; Solanaceae
Description: long non-coding RNA (NBEN_LNC014462)
Source: RNAcentral